UACGUAGGCCGCAAGCGUUGUUCGGAGUUACUGGGCGUAAAGGGUGUGUAGGCGGUUCUCUAAGGUUGGUGUGAAAUCUCCCGGCUCAACUGGGAGGGUGCGCCGAAAACUGGAGGGCUAGAGUACUGGAUGGGAGAGUGGAAUUCCUGGUGUAGCGGUGAAAUGCGUAGAUAUCAGGAGGAACACCUGUGGUGUAGACGGCUCUCUGGACAGUAACUGACGCUGAGACACGAAAGCGUGGGUAGCAAACAGG
RNAcentral lists this ribosomal RNA (253 nucleotides) under uncultured bacterium. Its description in RNAcentral is "partial 16S ribosomal RNA". It matches the Rfam family "Bacterial small subunit ribosomal RNA", at positions 524 to 776 of the family's 1533-position model. The record is from RNAcentral.